CUUCUGACACUCGAACUCCUCAGAAUUGCCACCCGCCCUGUGUGUCAGCACUGAGAGGGCAUUUUAGAGAUGGACAGAGGCCUGGCCUUCGUUUUCUGAGUACCUUGAAUAUUUGAAAAAAGAAGAAAAAUGCCAGAAUUGGUACAAAAAAUUGUAGGUGGUAUAUUCUAUUUAGAUGCUUAAUAAAAAAAAUGCUGCUAAACACUUAUAAAAAUACAAUGGCUAGGAGGACCCUCAUUUGGAGAGAAUGGUUCCAUAUAUCCAUAGACCAUAGAUUCACAGUCGAUGAUUUGAGGUCGUUUGUGAAUGAGAUUCAGAACGCGUGGCUCUCCUGGUCCUCUGCUCCCCUUCACCUCCGUGUUAGAUAUGGGUGCCUUAGGCGGGGCGGGGUGGGGGGUCUCCUGCUGGAGGGCUCAGGGCCCCCACUCUUCUACGGGACAAAAGCCUUCAGGUCAACCUUGUGCCCCUGGGGAGAGGAGUGGUGCCCUCAGGGUGGCCUGGCCUGGGCAAGGAGGGUCUCCUUGCUGGGCUGGGGUGAACAGCAGGUGGAGGGACACAACCUGAGUCAUCCGUGGGACACGAUGCCCCCUUCUGCUGAUGUCCUCCUCCAGCCAGGGGCUCAUCACUGGGGUAUCUGGGUUACCUUGGUUACAAUAUGGGAAAAGGAAGUUUUGCGAAUGGCUUCUCCUUGGGUGCUUUCAGACUUAAGAAAUAGCUCCACCAUUUGUGGCCAGCUUUCUGCUGGUUUCCUUCUGUGAUGAUAGCAGCCGCCAGUUCGCCUCAUGACAUGCCUACAUCAGCCAGGCAUUGUGUUAAGAGCUGAAAAUACAGCGGUUAUUCACGCUGGCUGUCCUGGGUCCUGGGGGCAGGGGAGCUGACCGUUGAUUUGGGAGAAAGGCACAAGUGAGUGAGUCACCUCCAUGUAAUGAAGUGAGUGCUCUUCUUGGAUUAUGACAGAAUCAUAGAGGAGAGCCGCCCACCCAGGGUGGGGCGUUCCUGAGAAGGUUCUGGAACAGAGAGGGAGGCUGAGCUGAAUCCUGAUGAAGAAAGGACUUAGCCAGGCUGGAGUGGGUUGUGAGAAGAUCCAAGGGACGGGGGCACCCAGCUUGGGUCGAGACUACAUUUCCAACAGUGGGAGUUCAGGGUCAGAAGGUAGAAUGACAACUACAGAAAACUUUCAAUACCAGGUUUUCCCUCCAAGGAAAUCAACGUCUAUUGGCGUUCCCCUCCGCAGAGCAUGAGAGUCUUUCUAUCCCCACCUGCCCCUCCACCCGUGUUAUUAAAACUCACUUCCUCCACCUGUGCCAA
This is a long non-coding RNA of Herpailurus yagouaroundi (jaguarundi), 1308 nucleotides long. RefSeq lists it as uncharacterized. NCBI's taxonomy places the organism in Eukaryota, Metazoa, Chordata, Mammalia, Carnivora, Felidae. The transcript has 2 exons. The record is from RefSeq and is a predicted model, not a curated record.